Molecule: long non-coding RNA, 3102 nt
Filed under: Betta splendens (Siamese fighting fish)
Lineage: Eukaryota; Metazoa; Chordata; Actinopteri; Anabantiformes; Osphronemidae
Description: lncRNA (ENSBSLG00000006104.1)
Source: RNAcentral
GUCAAAGCUGUUGACGUUGACCAUAAUGGAACAAACAAACAGAGCGUCUGUCUCUGUUUUUGUCCUGUAAUCUGUCCUCAGGUCUGUGUUACCGGCAGAACGCUCACCCUCCUAUUGGUGCAGCAGGCGUCAGUGAGGCCUCUGCGAGUGAUCAACAUUCAUGCGGCCCGCCACACAAAACCUGGCAACGCCUCUGUUCCCACCAGCAGAGGGCAACAUUCACCAACUUACCUCUCUGCCAUCAUUCCCCCCCAUCCUCCCGUCCCGCUCCUCUCCGUCCCCAUCGACAGCCCCUCCCAUCGGAGACCAGAAGCUCUCCGGACCCCCCCCCCCCACCCAUCGUUGCCCUGGAGACGGCUCAGACGAGCAGGUGAUGCAUUGACAGGGAGCAGAUGGUUCCCUGUGGAGGUAAGCAUGGCUGAACAAUGCUUCCAUAUUCAUCAUAAACUCUUGCUAACUCUCUGCGUCUCCCUCCUCCUUCAGCGACAAGCGCACACAUAACUUCAAAGUUGAAUGGCUCCCGCUUUCACGACACACGCUGGUAUUUGAGCGUGCUGCCUUUUUCCGGGCCGCUAAUUGAAACCGCCGCCGGGCCGAUGAGUCUGUGAGGGCGGCGGGGCGCGCGCGGCUGAGCGAGGUGAUGAUGUUGUGACAGGCUAUUGUCGAAGGGCUGGUGACGAACAGCAGCUCCUGCAUUCAGGAGAGCUGCUUCGGCCGCGCGUCCGACGGGAGACGAGUAAAGAGUUUCCCUGCACUUGUCUCCUGCAGGUGUUUUCAGGCUUUUCGCCGCAGUAACUCAGUCCUCCAAAGAAGCCUCUGUCUCCCCUGGAGAUAAAGUACAGACACCCCACUCUCCCUGUCCCUUUUCUUUCAGCUAACUCUGAAUAAUCCAGCAACAAUGCAGAGCUCUGGGGCGGUGUGCAGCGAUUCGCCGGAGGCCUGACUUGUUUUGAGGUGCGGUGGGGGGUGGGGGCAGGGGAGCGGCAUUAUGGAGAUCAGCUAAUGCAUGUAAAACACUGCAUCCAUCUCUCUUUUUUAUUGGAACAAGUGCUAAAGAAAAAGUGUGCGGCACAAUAGGGUCUGUGGAGCGCUACGCUUAACCCACCACACCUGGAGCACACAACGGGGGGUGAGAGUGAGUGGCAGCCCCCCCCAUCCUUUGCCUCAGCCAUCAUCACCAGCGCUGCAGCACCUAUCAAUACGGGCUGUAAGGAGCUUGGGGGGGGGGCUCCCUGUAUUCACGGCCUGACUAUGAUAAAGACGCACAGUGAGGAGCCAUUCAAGAGCCCUGUGCCCAUAAUAGAGUCACUAAUAGGUGCCUAUUCAGCAAGGAAAGUGUUUUCUGGAGGAGAAAAAAAAGUUUUGGGGAAGCAACAAUCACUCUGCUGCCUUGUGUAUGUAAAAUUUAUGCAGUGCUCCACCCUCCGCUCUUUUCCAACUCUCGCUGCUGCCUUUUUUCCUUCUUUACUCUAAAGAGCGUCGCCGCUGAAUAGACUACAUGCAUGGUUUGGAGUCUUCCUUUCAUCCUUUCUCGGGCAUAAAUUGAAUGGUCUGUUCUCAAGUGAGUCCAGUCCAGCGGCAGGAACACACUCAACGUCUUUUUCAUCUCCUUUUACCCACUUUUCCACCUAAAAUUGUGAUCACAGGUGAACAGCUCUCACUUUAUGACUCAGUUUUUCCUGUUUCCUGUCACAUGCGUGAGCAAAGCAAUGGAAGCAGUACAGACAGGACAUCUGCAUUUCUGUUCCUAUUUCUAUACAAUUACACAUUAAGUGUGUAAAGAGUUUAUAAACAGAUAAUAUCUGGACUCCAAAUGUUUCUUAAAUGCAUCCAUCCCCAGAAAGUGGGAUGUGGACAAUCUGGGCUGUAGUAUAAGCUGGUCAAUGGUUUGAAUCUUUUCCAGUAGAUCUAGUUGAUGUCAGUGUCUGUACAGAAAUGUAUUCACAUCUCAUGCCACCGCCGCUGAUAGCUGCUAUGUUUGCUGCUAUAUUAGCCGCCCACCCCCUUGUCCUGGUCCCGAGGCACCAGGGGAGAAGACCUUUUGGGUGAGCUGACUAAUCUUGAAAUGCUGGAACCAUAUUGAAAAAGAGGGCAUGAACUGAGAAGUUCUGGGAGCAUAUUGUGCUGCGUGUCAAAGGGCUUAGCUGACAGAUUGAUGAGAUGAGGAAAUAACGGAGCUAACCGGGGGGGCGGGGGGGAGAAGGGGGGUCGUUGGUGGUCGGAGAUCUCAGCAUGGCACGGCAACCGCGGGCUGGAGUCAGAGCAGCGGUCCCCCCAGGCCCACCGGGCAGAGCCGGCACAGGUCAGCACCCUUUGAUUCUGGGUCCCGCAGCUGACAAAAGGCAGCACGCAGUGGGCAGGGCCGCGCUCCUUAGAACAGCAUGAAAGCCCUUGUAAUGGUAUUUUUAUGUGAUUUCUAAAAGGCUUUGUCAGCUUUUCACUGCUGAUGUAUGUGUUUAUUUGUGUGUGAGCAUCUCCACCGUUGUCAUCCAAGUUAGUCUGAGGGAGCCAAAAGCUGCUUUCCUCAGUAUUUUACACUUAAAGGUGCUGCCUGUAGUGACGAACUGUCAGAAGGAUCAGGUGUGUGUGUCUUCUCUUUGUUAGCCUCUCAGAGCCAGCCUCCGGGACACUGCUGCCAACUGAGACUAGUUCAGCAUUUAGCAGCCAGAAGUGGGUGAAACCAGAAACAGAUCUGGUUUAGAUCCAUUUGGAUUUAGAAUCUAAGCCAAACUCUCAGCUAUGAAGGUAGAAACAAUGCUUGAAACUUAAACCAGUUCCAAGCUACAAAAAAAACGCCAUUUUCACUGACCCCCCCCCCCCCAUUUAACGCAUUUUCCUCCAGUGUCUUAGCAACUGUUGAUGGGGCAUCUGGAUUUCCCACAGUGCACUGCAGAGCCCCCGCAGUGAGACCUCAACCAGCGGCUUGAGGAAGGGAGAUGCAAAGGAGAGGUCCGGAUCGUGCAGUGGUGGUGGUAGUGAGUUUUCUCAAGCUUUUUUGUGUCUCGGUUUUAGAGUAUUGAAAUAAUCAGUCACGUCAUUAGAGUCUGUGGAGUCUGUGACAGGAUCAAAGAUCAAAUAAAUGUUUAAAGGUGUUUUUUUGCA